This 497-nucleotide ribosomal RNA is filed under the name uncultured bacterium. RNAcentral describes it as "partial 16S ribosomal RNA". It matches the Rfam family "Bacterial small subunit ribosomal RNA", at positions 28 to 507 of the family's 1533-position model. The record is from RNAcentral.
GAUGAACGCUGGCGGCGUGCCUAAUACAUGCAAGUCGAGCGAACAGAUGAGGAGCUUGCUCCUCUGACGUUAGCGGCGGACGGGUGAGUAACACGUGGAUAACCUACCUAUAAGACUGGGAUAACUUCGGGAAACCGGAGCUAAUACCGGAUAAUAUAUUGAACCGCAUGGUUCAAUAGUGAAAGACGGUUUUGCUGUCACUUAUAGAUGGAUCCGCGCCGCAUUAGCUAGUUGGUAAGGUAACGGCUUACCAAGGCAACGAUGCGUAGCCGACCUGAGAGGGUGAUCGGCCACACUGGAACUGAGACACGGACCAGACUCCUACGGGAGGCAGCAGUAGGGAAUCUUCCGCAAUGGGCGAAAGCCUGACGGAGCAACGCCGCGUGAGUGAUGAAGGUCUUCGGAUCGUAAAACUCUGUUAUUAGGGAAGAACAAAUGUGUAAGUAACUAUGCACGUCUUGACGGUACCUAAUCAGAAAGCCACGGCUAACUACGUG